ACCAUUACUCUAGCUGGGCGAACGUGUGUAUCUCUACCUUGUGAAAGAAGAUUACAACAACAAAAGGUACGCACAACACUGGUCAUGUCACAGACACCUUGUGGGGGGUUCCGGAAGCUGCCAUUAAUCGUAAUAUGCCAUCCUUCGUACAGUAAAACAUUUUCUUUUCUUUGAUUCUUGGUGGCUGAAUGGUGGACUACUAUUGAGCAAUCGUUUCAACUAUGUAAAAAAGUGGGUCAAAUGGUUUGACAACCUCCUGGAUUUGCUGAAAACGUUUUGAGCUGCGCGUCAGCAACGAUAAUAAUCUGCACCGACGCUACACGGCAUAAAUACCGGAAUAUGUUAAGGGACAGCAUUCAGUUUUCACACAGCAGUUCGACGUUUCAUCAUGUUCAAGAAAAUCUGGAAAUCCUUGGCUAGAAUGUGCCGGAACAGAGGCAAUAACAAGAAAUCGUAUAACUAUCAAUCAGCUCAAACCGAUUAUCUAACAAUCCGUCACCGCAGCAAAGCGGAAAUCAAUCUAGUUAGCCUUGAUAAUGGACAAACAGAAUUUCGAACGCCGUUCACUACUCGAUUGGGGCGAAAGGUCAUCCACCUUCGUAAAUAAUGCAGCCGCGUUUUGCUGCGGGUCGUCUGACGUCUGGCUGAAAAGCAACCUGGAAUGUGAUAUCGUGUGACUUUUUGGUGUGGGAAUUAAAUCUUGGGGAUGCCUUGUUUGGUUUGCGGAAUCAAAAUUAUCUAUUGGUGCAUAGCUCUAUUUACAAACUACUCUAUUUUUCUACCGUUUGAAUAAAAAAUAUGAAUUACUACCGUGUACCAGCAUGUCGCCAUCUGUGUGAAUAAAAACAUAAUUUAACAACA
This is a long non-coding RNA of Daphnia magna, 861 nucleotides long. RefSeq lists it as uncharacterized. The record is from RefSeq and is a predicted model, not a curated record. The transcript is spliced from 3 exons. Lineage: Eukaryota; Metazoa; Arthropoda; Branchiopoda; Diplostraca; Daphniidae.